RNAcentral lists this ribosomal RNA (315 nucleotides) under Triticum aestivum (bread wheat). Its description in RNAcentral is "partial small subunit ribosomal RNA". The record is from RNAcentral. Lineage: Eukaryota; Viridiplantae; Streptophyta; Magnoliopsida; Poales; Poaceae.
AUGCGAUCGGUGAGUUUGCGCGCUGUAAUUUCCGAAAUUGAUAUAUGUAGUGUUUAUUUGGGUUGUGGGGGGCAGCUGCAGACAGCAGCAUGGGCUUGGAGAGUGGGGAUCAGUACGAUUUUCUUACAAAACUGCAAUGCCCUACAAAUCAUUGUUGGCACUGGCCACUUGUUUGGAUGCACUACAUGGUGCUGGUUGUCGCAAUGCAACCAUCAUAUUUUUGCAUUCUGUUGGCUGUUGAUUGUUUGGAUGUUGCUGCGGUUAGUGUUGGUUGUAUGUUUCACUGAUUGUUUGGGUGCUCUUGUAGUCUCGUGA